This 279-nucleotide ribosomal RNA is filed under the name Leucilla sp. OV-2012. Its description in RNAcentral is "partial 28S ribosomal RNA". It matches the Rfam family "Eukaryotic large subunit ribosomal RNA", at positions 534 to 781 of the family's 3401-position model. Lineage: Eukaryota; Metazoa; Porifera; Calcarea; Leucosolenida; Amphoriscidae. The record is from RNAcentral.
AUGUGUGUCAGGCGUUGAGGACUGCACGCAGUGCUCGGUGUCUUGGCGUGGUCUGGUGGUGGUGUGGGCAUAGAGGUGCCUAGGACGCUGGCGUCCAAAUGGCCGUGCGCGACCCGUCUUGAAACACGGACCAAGGAGUCUAACAUGUGCGCGAGUCUUAGGGUGUGCAAGCCCUCGGGCGCAAUGAAAGUGAAAGUUCAGCGUUGGUUGAGCUGAGGUGAGAGCCGUUGCUGGCCUGACGCCACGGCGGCGCAUCAUCGGCCGGUCCAUCCUGCUCUC